CCUACGGGUGGCAGCAGUGAGGAAUAUUGGUCAAUGGACGGAAGUCUGAACCAGCCAUGCCGCGUGCAGGAAGAAGGCCCUAUGAGUUGUAAACUGCUUUUAUAAAGGAAUAAAGUGAGGCACGGGUGCCCUUUUGUAUGUACCUUAUGAAUAAGGAUCGGCUAACUCCGUGCCAGCAGCCGCGGUAAUACGGAGGAUCCGAGCGUUAUCCGGAUUUAUUGGGUUUAAAGGGAGCGUAGAUGGGUUGUUAAGUCAGUUGUGAAAGUUUGCGGCUCAACCGUAAAAUUGCAAUUGAUACUGGCAGUCUUGAGUACAGUUGAGGUAGGCGGAAUUCGUGGUGUAGCGGUGAAAUGCUUAGAUAUCACGAAGAACUCCGAUUGCGAAGGCAGCUUACUAAACUGCCACUGACAUUGAUGCUCGAAAGUGUGGGUAUCAAACAGGAUUAGAUACCCUAGUAGUC
This 460-nucleotide ribosomal RNA is filed under the name uncultured bacterium. RNAcentral describes it as "partial 16S ribosomal RNA". It matches the Rfam family "Bacterial small subunit ribosomal RNA", at positions 338 to 795 of the family's 1533-position model. The record is from RNAcentral.